Long non-coding RNA from Cygnus olor (mute swan), 460 nucleotides. RefSeq lists it as uncharacterized. Lineage: Eukaryota; Metazoa; Chordata; Aves; Anseriformes; Anatidae. The record is from RefSeq and is a predicted model, not a curated record. The transcript has 3 exons.
GGGGCGCUGAGGGUUCCCCCCCCGAGCCACACCGCGCCGUGAUUUUCCUCAGAGAGGCUCGGAGGUGGGGUCUGGAAAGGGCUCUGCCUUACCCAAAGCCCGAGCGCAUCUCCCUGCCUGCUGCUGAGCUGCGCUCUGGGGCCAAACCUGCUGCAAACCCGGCACCAGCUCAGUGCCAGGCCCAGAGUAUUUUUCCCUUCUUUUUAUCAGUAUGGUGAGAAACACGACUGAAACGCGAGAUUUGUUAUCAGAAGCACAGCUUGUGUCCCCGGGAAAAGGAACCGCAGAUCAGAGAUGGGAGGCUCUUGGGACCAGGCAGAAUACACAACAGCACAAAAGCAGCUUAGCAGAAACAGCCAGAACUCGUGCAGUCUUUCAACGUAUAACAAUUACUUCAGCCUGUACCUAACUGGCCUCUCAAAUUAACCACACCUCACGAGCCAGCGUCCAGUUGUGCUUU